CAGUCGCCGCGGUAAUACGAAGGGGGCUAGCGUUGCUCGGAAUGACUGGGCGUAAAGGGCGCGUAGGCGGUUUAUACAGUCAGAUGUGAAGUUCCUGGGCUCAACCUGGGGACUGCAUUUGAUACGUAUGGACUUGAGUGGAGAAGAGGGUCGUGGAAUUUCCAGUGUAGCGGUGAAAUGCGUUGAGAUGUGGAGGAACACCAGUGGCGAAGGCGACUCUCUGGUCUGUAACUGACGCUGAGGAGCUAAAGCGUGGGGAGCGAACAGGAUUAGAUACCCCAGUAGUCCCUGUCUCUUAUAC
Molecule: ribosomal RNA, 301 nt
Filed under: uncultured bacterium
Lineage: Bacteria
Description: partial 16S ribosomal RNA
Rfam family: Bacterial small subunit ribosomal RNA
Source: RNAcentral